UGGGGAAUAUUGCACAAUGGGCGCAAGCCUGAUGCAGCCAUGCCGCGUGUGUGAAGAAGGCCUUCGGGUUGUAAAGCACUUUCAGCGGGGAGGAAGGCGUUAAGGUUAAUAACCUUGGCGAUUGACGUUACCCGCAGAAGAAGCACCGGCUAACUCCGUGCUAGCAGCCGCGGUAAUACGGAGGGUGCAAGCGUUAAUCGGAAUUACUGGGCGUAAAGCGCACGCAGGCGGUCUGUCAAGUCGGAUGUGAAAUCCCCGGGCUCAACCUGGGAACUGCAUUCGAAACUGGCAGGCUAGAGUCUUGUAGAGGGGGGUAGGAUUCCAGGUGUAGCGGUGAAAUGCGUAGAGAUCUGGAGGAAUACCGGUGGCGAAGGCGGCCCCCUGGACAAAGACUGACGCUCAGGUGCGAAAGCGUGGGGAGCAAACAGG
Molecule: ribosomal RNA, 429 nt
Filed under: Chloroflexota bacterium
Lineage: Bacteria; Bacillati; Chloroflexota
Description: Chloroflexi bacterium partial 16S ribosomal RNA
Rfam family: Bacterial small subunit ribosomal RNA
Source: RNAcentral